AGAAUGCGCGCCGUGUCAGGUGCUGCGUACGGAUUCUCCAAGCGCAGUUAAACGGGAAAGCGGUGCGUCUCCAACGAGACCAUGCCGCUGCUGCCCCCGCAACGGUAAGCAAGUGCGGGCGUAUCACACAGCCACUGGGAAAUACCUGGGAAGGCGAUACGUCAAAACUUGCGAGCCCGGAUACCGGCCUGAGACAAAAAGUGGAA
This 206-nucleotide non-coding RNA is filed under the name Dechloromonas aromatica (nom. nud.). The record is from RNAcentral. Lineage: Bacteria; Pseudomonadati; Pseudomonadota; Betaproteobacteria; Rhodocyclales; Azonexaceae.